AUGAAGAAAAGCAGCCUCACGACCAACCAGUACUAUUCCGUUAUUGCGUUCACAUGCGCUCAUAUAUCAUCAUUACUCUGCUCCAUUUCUCAUCAACACCAUAUUUUUUUUAAACAAAUAAUGCUGAUAGAUAGAUCAGGAUGGCUACAACAAAACACUACACAAUUAUUAAUCACUCAUAAUUCAGUGAUGUUAAAGUUUUAA
Vicia faba (fava bean) is the source of this 204-nucleotide non-coding RNA. Lineage: Eukaryota; Viridiplantae; Streptophyta; Magnoliopsida; Fabales; Fabaceae. The record is from the annotation of a GenBank genome assembly.